Molecule: ribosomal RNA, 497 nt
Filed under: uncultured bacterium
Lineage: Bacteria
Description: partial 16S ribosomal RNA
Rfam family: Bacterial small subunit ribosomal RNA
Source: RNAcentral
GGGGGGGGGGGGGGGGGGGGGGGGGGGGUGGGGGGGGGGGGGGGGGGCGGGGGGGGGGGGCGUCUGGCGUUGGCGGCGGACGGGGGGGUGACCCGUGGCUAGCCUCCCUCUAAGCCUGGGAGGACUUCGGGCAACCGGGGCUGAUCCCGGAUCAUCUAUUGCACCGCCUGGUUCCAUCGUUACCGCCGGUUUUGCUUUCACCUAUCGAUGGAUCCGCGCCGCCUUAGCUCGUUUGUCAGGUCCCGGCGUACCAAGUCAACGAUGCGUAGCCGACCUGAGAGGGUGAUCAGCCACACUGGAACUGAGACACGGUCCAGACUCCUACGGGAGGCAGCAGUAGGGAAUCUUCCGCAAUGGGCGAAAGCCUGACGGAGCAACGCCGCGUGAGUGAUGAAGGUCUUCGGAGCGUAAAACUCUGUUAUUAGGGAAGAACAAAUGUGUAAGUAACUAUGCACGUCUUGACGGUACCUAAUCAGAAAGCCACGGCUAACUACGUG